CCACCCUUGUAUGUUUGAUGUUCUAACUUAGCCCCGUUAUCCGGGGUGAGGACAGUGCCUGGUGGGUAGUUUGACUGGGGCGGUCUCCUCCCAAAGAGUAACGGAGGAGCACGAAGGUGGGCUAAUCACGGUUGGACAUCGUGAGGUUAGUGCAAUGGCAUAAGCCCGCUUAACUGCGAGAAUGACGGUUCGAGCAGGUGCGAAAGCAGGUCAUAGUGAUCCGGUGGUUCUGUAUGGAAGGGCCAUCGCUCAACGGAUAAAAGGUACUCCGGGGAUAACAGGCUGAUACCGCCCAAGAGUUCAUAUCGACGGCGGUGUUUGGCACCUCGAUGUCGGCUCAUCACAUCCUGGGGCUGAAGUCGGUCCCAAGGGUAUGGCUGUUCGCCAUUUAAAGUGGUACGCGAGCUGGGUUUAGAACGUCGUGAGACAGUUCGGUCCCUAUCUGCCGUGGGCGUUGGAAGAUUGAAGGGGGCUGCUCCUAGUACGAGAGGACCGGAGUGGACGAACCUCUGGUGUUCGGGUUGUGUCGCCAGACGCAUUGCCCGGUAGCUAAGUUCGGAAUCGAUAACCGCUGAAAGCAUCUAAGCGGGAAGCGAGC
RNAcentral lists this ribosomal RNA (598 nucleotides) under Vibrio fluvialis. RNAcentral's name for it is "partial 23S ribosomal RNA". It matches the Rfam family "Bacterial large subunit ribosomal RNA", at positions 2200 to 2797 of the family's 2925-position model. Lineage: Bacteria; Pseudomonadati; Pseudomonadota; Gammaproteobacteria; Vibrionales; Vibrionaceae. The record is from RNAcentral.